This 2593-nucleotide ribosomal RNA is filed under the name Dactylella tenuis. RNAcentral's name for it is "large subunit ribosomal RNA". It matches the Rfam family "Bacterial large subunit ribosomal RNA". Lineage: Eukaryota; Fungi; Ascomycota; Orbiliomycetes; Orbiliales; Orbiliaceae. The record is from RNAcentral.
UAUAGAAAGAAACUAUUAGGGAAUCAUUGCAAUAUAUCAAAGAGAGAUCUUUUUAAUUUGUAUAAAACAUGAACUCUAAGAGAAAUUCAAUAAUAAACGAAGUAAAUUGAAAUAUCUUAAUAACUUUAGGAAAAGAAAUCAAAAGAGAUUCUAUGAUUAGUGAGAAUGAAAAUAGAGAAGCCUAAAAAAUAAUAAGUAAAAUGGGUUAAAACCUGUUUGAAUAAGUAAAGGGGAACCUUCCUCUAAGGCUAAAUAUGGUAUAUUGAGCGAUAGUAAAUAGUACCGUGAGGGAAAUGAAAAAAAUAGUAGUUUUAUAAGCAGCUCGAGAAGAAAAUUUAAAUAAUAUUGAGAGCGUACCUUUUGCAUAAUGGGUCAGCAAGUUAAUAUUAGAUGCGAGCAGUAAAUGCCUAGAUAACUCGGUUAAUACUAUAGUGAGAAGUAUCUAAAAUUAGACCCGAAACCUAGUGAUCUUACCAUGAUCAGAAUUAUAAAAGUUCGAACGGGUUAUCGUUGUAUAGAUAUCCGAAGAAUUGUGGUAAGAUGGUGAAAGAUAAAACUGACUAGGGAUAGCUGGUUUUCUGCGAAACCUAUCUAAGUAGGUCAUUUAACUAACAUCAUGCAGGUACAGAACUUGAUCUUACAUGGCUAGUCGAAGAGAUAUUUUUUAAUAACAUCGGGGGAUCGUGAAGAUUUUAUCGUUAAGUAUUAGGUCUCGGAAUGGCAAAGAUGAAUGUUAAAUAAUCAGACAUAGUAUGCUAAGGUUGUAUGUCAAAAGGGAAACAGCCCAGAACAAGUGUAAAUAUAAGGUUCCAAAAUUAUUGUUAAGUGAAAUAAAGAGAGUUUUUAUCUAAUUCGAUCAGGUGAUGGGCUUAGUAGCGGCCAUUUUUUAAAGACCUCGUAACAGAGCACUGAUUCAAACGCCGGAGUAUAUCCGGAGGAUAAAAACAUCGAAGAUUUAACGGAUCUAUUAAACAAUAUACCGACACCUUGUCCAUAAUUAUAAUCGGAAUCCAUAUUAAGAGAUGGUCUGUCUAAUUUAAUUAUGGGGUAGCGGAACAUUGGGUGAUAUUAUUAAAUUAUUCUUUUUAAGAAUAAAAACACAUUAACCCAAGUGAGAAUGCUGACAUGAGUAACGAAAAAGGAAAAUUUUCCUCGCCUUAAGCUUAUGGAAUUAUAUGUAAGUAACGGCCUCUAAGUUUAUUGUUCUAAUGGACUAAACGAUGAGAAAACCUUGUUUAUUAAGUAACAACCUUAUAUGAGUGUAUAAGUGUUCUGGAAAAACAAUAAGCCACGUAUUUAUAAGAAAAUAAACUAAAAAGAUGAUUCUUAUAAAAAGGUGAUGAACCGUACCUAACGCACCAUGAGGUAAGCUAGUAGAGAAUACGAAGGCGCUUGAGUGAACAAUCAUUAAGGAACUCGGCAAACUAACUACCGUAACUUAGGGAGAAGGAGUGCCGAUCCUCCUGUUUAAUAUCAGGUAGGAUAAGGAAGCAUAGAAUCGUGUUGUCCGACUGUUUAAUUAAAACAAAGCACGCUGCAUUAAGAUGAAAAUUCAAAGUAUAGAGUGUGAUGUCUGCCCGAUGCCGGCUGGUUAACGGAGUUUCUUAGUCGGAUUUUUAUAAUGAAGGCUUGGUUUUGAAGGAUACCCCGGUUAAUGGCGGCCUUAUCUAUGAGGGUCCAAAGGUAGCAAAAUACCUUGGCCACUAAAUAUGGUCUUGCAUGAAUGAUGUAACGAUACAACAGCUGUCUCGAUGAUUGGCUCAGUGAAAUUGGAAUAGCAGUAGACCCUAUGCAGCUUUACUGUUGCUAGUCACUGCGUGUGAUCGAACUAUUAGUAGUGAAUAAGGUAGUUGUUUAGACAUAGUUGAAACACCUUUUUACGUUUAUCACAUUGCUGGGGGAGAACAACGGCUAGGUGGCAGUUUAUGCGGGGCACAGAUCCCAUAAAGAGUAGCUGGGUAUAUCCUAAUGCAAGUAAGAUUUUAACUAUAUUGACAAUAGCUGUAAUAAAUAAAAUUAACAUUUUCUAGGAGAUGUAAUAUGUAUUUAAAGUUGCUUAAAUCCAAUCUCUCAAUAUUGUGAAUAGUGAUUUUGAUAAUUACUUGUCAAGUUUAAUGGCAUAAUCUUGCUUAACUGUCUGACCUACACGUCUAUCAGUCGCGUAAGCGGGGCAUACGAUCACGAGAUACAUAAAGGACUGAUCUCGUAUUAUAGAAUAAAGUUACGCUAGGGAUAACAGGCUGAUUGCGCUUGAGAGUACAUAUUGGGAGCGCAGUUUGGCACCUCGAUGUCGGCUUAGCUUAUCCUCAUGAACGCAGGAGCCAUGAAGGGUACGACUGUUCGUCGUUUAAAAAGCUACACGAGCUGGGUUAAAUACGUCGUGAGACAGUAUGGUUUCUAUCUUCUAGUGGUAAUUAGAGUAAAAUAAAAUCAGCCCCUUUGUACGAAAGGAACUGGGUACAUUAACCUCUGGUUUACCUGUUGUUUAUGUGGACAAUAUUAAUUGUAAUUAUACUAAAUAUAUGAUACAAAAAGAAUUUUACUGACACUUAAGUAAAUAAUAGCAUAGGCACGGCAGGAAAGCUAUGUUUGU